AGUGAACGCUGGCGGUAGGCCUAACACAUGCAAGUCGAACGGCAGCACAGUAAGAGCUUGCUCUUACGGGUUGCGAGUGGCGGACGGGUGAGGAAUGCAUCGGAAUCUACUUUUUCGUGGGGGAUAACGUAGGGAAACUUACGCCAAUACCGCAUACGACCUACGGGUGAAAGCAGGGGAUCUUCGGACCUUGCGCGAUUGAAUGAGCCGAUGUCGGAUUAGCUAGUUGGCGGGGUAAAGGCCCACCAAGGCGACGAUCCGUAGCUGGUCUGAGAGGAUGAUCAGCCGCACUAGAGCUGAGACACGGUCCAGACUCCUACGGGAGGGAGCAGUGGGGAAUAUUGGACAAUGGGCGCAAGCCUGAUCCAGCCAGACCGCGUGGGUGAAGAAGGCCUUGGGGUUGUAAAGCCCUUUUGUGGGGAAAGAAAAGCAGCAGGUUAAUACCACGCUGUUCUGACGGUACCCAAAGAAUAAGCACCGGCUAACUUCGUG
This 492-nucleotide ribosomal RNA is filed under the name uncultured bacterium. RNAcentral describes it as "partial 16S ribosomal RNA". It matches the Rfam family "Bacterial small subunit ribosomal RNA", at positions 29 to 507 of the family's 1533-position model. The record is from RNAcentral.